UCUUUUUUGCUAGGGUUUCAGUUGUUUUUCUUUUUCUUUCAUGUCUCUUCCUGUUAAUGGUUUUGUUGUCUUACUUAUUCGUUUUUUGUGUAAUUCAUGGGUGCCACAGUGGAAGCUCAUGAGGAUUGAAAUGGUUUUUCCAAAACGUUGUUGUCAUACUAAUAGAUUAAUGCAAGGUAUAAAAUCGUGAAAUCAUGUUUUUUUUUUAUAUUUUUUUUCUUUAUUUUACUUAUAUUUUAUUUGGAAGAUGUUGAUGAUAUCUCACGAGCUUUGGAAAUACGGGUAUAGGAUCGUGAAAUCCUGAUUUUUUGGUAUUUAUUUUCUUGAUCUUUUUUUGCUUUUGAAUAGAAUUUAUUUGGAAGAUGUUGAUGAUACAAUACGAGUUUUGGAAUUUUUUUGCUUUUGAAUAGACUUUAUUUUGGAAGAUGUUGAUGAUACAAUAUGAGCUUUGGAAGAUGGGUUAAGAUUCAUUUUUUGAUGGAAUUUCCGAUGGUACCUCACGGGCUCUUCAUGUAUUUUUUUUCAUGCGGUUCUCUUGCCAAUUUUUUUUUGGAAAAUAUGGGUUUCUUCUUAACCACUCUUUGAUUUAUUAACCACGGAGUUUGGUUAUUGGUUUGGGUACAAAUGAUUUUGAUUGUGUUGAUAUCUCUCCACUAUGUCAUCAGUUAUUAACUAAAGUCUUUAUCUGCUUCGUUUCGGCGGUGAAAGCAUGGAAUGCAUUACGUGCAUGUUGCAAACGUAUCAAAAUUGGAAAGAUAUUGAUGCACCACGAUGAGGACAAUGGGCAGCAGCUUCUCAUAUACGAGAAGCUACCCAAGGAUAUUUCGGAAAGGGAUGUUUUGCUUCUAGACCCGGUCCUUGCUACAUGUAACUUUUCUGCAUAUGAAUCAAGACUUGAUCAGAUCCACUAACUCGUGAUGACAUGAAAUUUGUAGAUUUAAAUGUCUACAUGCAUGGAGCAUCUUUAGGUGCUUCUUUAUUGUUUUUCUUUUUAGCAGAUGUUUGAGUUCUUUUAGUUUUACACUACAAUUUAAGUUUUACACUUCCUGUGCUGUGAACAGUGCAACUUCAAAAUCAUGCUCUCAUUCUUAAUGUAUCUACACUGGAAGCAAUGCAGUCUUUCGAUCCCGCUACUUAAUUUUUCUAUAUUUAUAUUAGUUUUGAUA
This is a long non-coding RNA of Papaver somniferum (opium poppy), 1166 nucleotides long. RefSeq lists it as uncharacterized. NCBI's taxonomy places the organism in Eukaryota, Viridiplantae, Streptophyta, Magnoliopsida, Ranunculales, Papaveraceae. The record is from RefSeq and is a predicted model, not a curated record. The transcript has 2 exons.